AAGAAAGUGACAGAGUGGUUAUGUGGUUGGCUUGAAACCGGCAGAAGGGGGUUCAACUCCCUCCUUUCUUG
RNAcentral lists this transfer RNA (71 nucleotides) under Cyema atrum (bobtail snipe eel). RNAcentral's name for it is "tRNA-Ser (UCN)". It matches the Rfam family "tRNA". From Rfam's summary of the family: Transfer RNA (tRNA) molecules are approximately 80 nucleotides in length. The record is from RNAcentral. Lineage: Eukaryota; Metazoa; Chordata; Actinopteri; Anguilliformes; Cyematidae.